RNAcentral lists this unclassified non-coding RNA (352 nucleotides) under soil metagenome. RNAcentral describes it as "partial contains 5.8S ribosomal RNA, internal transcribed spacer 2, and large subunit ribosomal RNA". The stretch from base 1 to 120 matches the Rfam family "5.8S ribosomal RNA", at positions 35 to 154 of the family's 154-position model. The record is from RNAcentral.
GAUGAAGAACGUAGCGAAAUGCGAUAAGUAAUGUGAAUUGCAAAAUUCAGUGAAUCAUCGAAUCUUUGAACGCACAUUGCGCCCGCCAGUAUUCUGGCGGGCAUGCCUGUUCGAGCGUCAUUACAACCCUCAGGCCCCCGGGCCUGGCGUUGGGGAUCGGCGGAGCCCCCCGUGGGCACACGCCGUCCCCCAAAUGCAGUGGCGGUCCCGCCGCAGCUUCCAUCGCGUAGUAGCUAACACCUCGCGACUGGAGAGCGGCGCGGCCACGCCGUAAAACACCCAACUCUUCUGAAGUUGACCUCGAAUCAGGUAGGAAUACCCGCUGAACUUAAGCAUAUCAAUAAGCGGAGGA